GAUCAUGGCUCAGGAUGAACGCUGGCUACAGGCUUAACACAUGCAAGUCGAGGGGCAGCAUUUUUAUAGCAAUAUAAAAGAUGGCGACCGGCGCACGGGUGAGUAACACGUAUCCAACCUGCCGAUAACUCGGGGAUAACCCUUCGAAAGAAGGCCUAAUACCCGAUGGCAUAUCCCUUCCGCCUGGUGGGGAUAUUAAAGAACUUCGGUUAUCGAUGGGGAUGCGUUCCAUUAGCUUGUUGGCGGGGUAAACCGG
RNAcentral lists this ribosomal RNA (256 nucleotides) under uncultured bacterium. RNAcentral's name for it is "partial 16S ribosomal RNA". It matches the Rfam family "Bacterial small subunit ribosomal RNA", at positions 15 to 267 of the family's 1533-position model. The record is from RNAcentral.